This is a long non-coding RNA of Megachile rotundata (alfalfa leafcutting bee), 1180 nucleotides long. RefSeq lists it as uncharacterized. The record is from RefSeq and is a predicted model, not a curated record. Lineage: Eukaryota; Metazoa; Arthropoda; Insecta; Hymenoptera; Megachilidae.
GCUCACAAAUUAUAUAAUUAAUCCAGGAGAGGGCAGUUAAAGUAUCGAUCUGCAUCGAUCCACUCUAUCAAAUAAUUUCUAAUAAACAACACCUACAAUUACUAACAAAACCUGCAAUAAACAGGAACUCAUAAUAGCUACAAAUCAAUAGAGAAUAAAAAGAAUAAUUAAAAAUAUUUAAAUGUAUGCGAAAUAUCAGUUUGAAUAAUUCACGACGGUUUACAUCCGUCAAAUCCUUCAGCUUCCCCGUCAGUUGCCAUUGCUGAUAAAUUCAUGAAAUACAUGUCGUGUUCGAUUAUUCGCGAUACACUGAUUAAUUGGGUAAUUUUAAGUGAUUAAAUGAUUCAACGACGAUUCAAAGGUAAUUCCAUUGACAAUAAUUGAAAGAGGAUUUGGCGGAAGUUAUUGGCUAGCUCACCGCCGGUAAUAUUACACGAUCCAUCUGGCAGGUGUGCCAACUUGAUUAACGAGAAAUGUUUUGCUCCGUCUAGCGUCGUACAAUGUGCGAAUUCUUGUUCGCGUAAAUUUCCUGGAAGCUGAUUUCCACGUAUGAAAGCGUUUCGAACAUAUUAACGUUUUUCCAAAUUCGCUUUUUGUUUCGAUAUUGUUGCAGAGUUCGUGCGGAUUUUGUGCCAGUUUCUCGAGGAAGGAAAAUGUCACGCAGGUGUUUUAGAAUAAUGAACAUAACUGGUGUUCUAUAGGUACGUGCAUAACCUUAUCUCAAAGAGUUCCAGAAUAUUCUCUGCAAUGAUCCUCCACAAUGAUUCUAAUUUUUAAUAAAUAAGAAAAUGACACGUGAAAUAAUGUGUAUCCGCAUACAAUAUGAACUUUCUCACAAAUUUUCUAUGGCUCUCAAAAAUUUUGAAAUGAAAAUUACGUGACAUUUAAAAAUACGAAGACGCAUUGGAUUACGCAAACGAGCAUCAAGCGCGGAGAAAAUAUGACGAUUUUAAUUAGUGAACAUGAAGCAACAUGAAAGGGACCAUUUCAAUUAACAGAAUCUAAAGUAUAUCGUGGUUAAUUGAUUGAAUAAUUUGCACAGUGCUUUUGAUGAUAAUUAUAAAGGUCUGACAAUACAUUUUGCAAAAUAUAGAGAAGGAAAAUUAUAGAGAAUAAAUUUCAUAAAAAAUUUAUCUCUAUUUGCAAUCAAAUGUUGCAGUAAAAUUCUUCAAUUUUUUCA